GCAACCUGCAACUGGCGCGGCGCGACCCCGUGGUGUUUCACUCCCUGCUGGGCAUCAGCUGGAUGUGGUUCUUCGGCGCGGUGUUCCUGUCGCUGUUCCCCGCCUACGCCAAGGACGUGCUG
This 122-nucleotide non-coding RNA is filed under the name Hylemonella gracilis ATCC 19624. RNAcentral's name for it is "Burkholderia RNA 11". It matches the Rfam family "Burkholderia RNA 11". From Rfam's summary of the family: Co-purified with Hfq, expression confirmed by Northern blot. Predicted target marZ. The record is from Rfam by way of RNAcentral. Lineage: Bacteria; Pseudomonadati; Pseudomonadota; Betaproteobacteria; Burkholderiales; Comamonadaceae.